UACAGAGGGGGCAAGCGUUGUUCGGAAUUACUGGGCGUAAAGGGCGCGUAGGCGGCCUGCUAAGUCGAACGUGAAAUCCCCGGGCUCAACCCGGGAACUGCGUCCGAUACUGGCAGGCUUGAAUCCGGGAGAGGGAUGCGGAAUUCCAGGUGUAGCGGUGAAAUGCGUAGAUAUCAGGAGGAACACCAAUGGCGAAGGCAGCUCGCUGGGACGGUACUGACGCUGAGGCGCGAAAGCGUGGGAGCAAACAGG
RNAcentral lists this ribosomal RNA (252 nucleotides) under uncultured bacterium. RNAcentral's name for it is "partial 16S ribosomal RNA". It matches the Rfam family "Bacterial small subunit ribosomal RNA", at positions 524 to 776 of the family's 1533-position model. The record is from RNAcentral.